AAUAUUGGACAAUGGGGGCAACCCUGACCCAGCCAUGCCUCGUGUGUUAAGAAUGUCUUCGGUUUGUAAUGCACUUUAAGUUGGGAGGGAGGGCUUUAGGUUAAUACCCUGAAUUUUUGACGUUACCAACAGAAGAAGCACCGGAUAACUCUGUGCCAGCAGCCGCGGUAAUAUCGAGGGUGCAAGCGUUAAUCGGAAUUACUGGGCGUAAAGCGCGCGUAGGUGGUUCAGUAAGAUGGGUGUGAAAUCCCCGGGCUUAACCUGGGAACUGCUUUCAUAACUGCUGAGCUAGAGUACGGUAGAGGGUAGUGGAAUUUCCUGUGUAGCGGUGAAAUGCGUAGAUAUAGGAAGGAACACCAGUGGCGAAGGCGACUACCUGGACUGAUACUGACACUGAGGUGCGAAAGCGUGGGGAGCAAACA
Molecule: ribosomal RNA, 422 nt
Filed under: uncultured bacterium
Lineage: Bacteria
Description: partial 16S ribosomal RNA
Rfam family: Bacterial small subunit ribosomal RNA
Source: RNAcentral